Paramuricea clavata is the source of this 1884-nucleotide non-coding RNA. The record is from the annotation of a GenBank genome assembly. Lineage: Eukaryota; Metazoa; Cnidaria; Anthozoa; Malacalcyonacea; Plexauridae.
AGGUUCAUCACAGAAGUUCAAGAAACUUUGUGAAAAACUUCAGGCAAUCUUACUUUCGCAUGACCGCUCUCCAGAGAAAAGUCGUCACAGUACAGCUAGUAUUGGAGGUAGUUUAAUUGACGGAAGCAGAAAGAAAGAGGAACGACCAACGAUGUCAAGUGCAUAUGUUGUAUCAGACAGUGAAAGUGAAGGAGAUUCGUUAUGUUCCCCUGACAAGGAAGGUAAUCGUAAAGAAACGAAUUUACAAACAUAAUGUUCAAAAACGAUCGUUGACCAGAUGUUGAUAAUCGUACUAAGGAAUUAACGAUCUACGAAGUGGAAGCUCGCAAAACAAAGGAUCUUUAUAGGAGACAAUAAAUCUGUGACGCCAAACGUAUCCUCCAAGCGUUGUCAUCUAUGAGCCUCAAGUAAGCUCGUUGCUUUAAUUUAGGCAUAAACAAAUUGGAAGGAAGUCUAUGCUUUAAGACCUUUGAGGUGUAAGUCAAUAGACGUGUUUUGAAAAUUCGACAAUCCAAGCAAGCGUCUAUAAUAAUUAGAAUGUUAUGUUGAGACGACUUCACAUGCACAAAUAAUUUAAAUUGUACUUAUUAUUAGUUGUUUGCAAUCAAUUCAUUUGGAACUCAUUGCAUAUACCGUGCAGAAAUUUUCGUCAACAUUAAAAAUAACAAUAGGAUAGAAGAAAGACUUUUUCCGUCUUUUAUAUAUUAAUAUGGAAGACAGUUACAGACAAUAGUUGCAUCUAAAAACUUAAAAUGACAUCUGAUUGUCUAGCAUAUCAUGUUGUACAUCGUAAACGGUUUAUUAUACAGGGUGUAUAAAAAAAGGUACAAGUUUGCCAUGUUCAAUAUCGUGGGUCAGGUAUAAUAAAAGUUUAUACACUUACUUCUCUCUGCCGAUAAUGGACUGUCAAUUUAGUCGUCAAAACGUCAAAUGACACCAUGUUUGUAUCAUUGCGAUCACAAAUGGCCAUUCGAUCCGAUUUAGAAUGGCCAAUUUGAUUAUUUCUUAAAUUGGAAGGUGAAAAGCUUUCAAUUCGCGAUUCCCCUUAUUACGUUUUCGUAGCGCUUUGCAUUGUGGUUAUAGUGUUAUCACUGAUAUUCAAGAUGGUUUAUUUUUUGUCCUGAGCCGUGCAAGAACUUUUAAAAAAAGCUAGGGUCAGGUGCGCGAUAGCCAACGGCAAAAUAUUCUCGAAAGCAUUCAAUAUUUUCAUUCGAGGCCGCUAUCUUUAUCAAUAGUGAUACCACUAUAAGCACAAUGCAAAACGCUACGAAAACGUAAUAAGGGGAAUCGCAAAUUGACAUCUACAAAGACCUGUCCGUGAUCUUAUUGAAAAAGAAGUAAAUCUAUGAACUCAGUAUUUACAGCACUAGACAUGCCAUGAAUUACCUUUCUUGAUACUGCCUGUAUGACUAAAUUUGCAAGUGAAUCGGGUAUAUUCAUCCACUCCGAGUCCCAGACAAACACCUCAAAGGAUUAGUGUCACAUGAAAUCAUGGGAAAAAUUUCUAGAUCUAUUGAUCUACUCGGCCCAUAAAAUGGUCGCCAGCACGAAUUUGAGCCCGCAAUGCCAUGGUGCGACAGUAAUCCUUUCAUAAGAAUUUUAUAGUCAGUUUAAAAACUGUGUUAAAUAAAUUAUUUAUUGCGGAUAGGGAUGGUACCCUUUUGAUAGCCGAUAGCUAUUUAACCAAAUGCUUAAUUGUAUACCAGUAUUGUAAAUAAUUUGUUAUCGACAUCGUUUGUCGACUUAAUUUAAUGUAGAAGGAAUAGAAAUGUUAUUUAAAAUUUAAUUUGUACGUACUGUAGAGAAAUGUUAUUCCUAAAUUAUAAUGCAACUGUUCUUUAAAUGUUAGCUUACACCAUGUUUAGGCAGACCAUUGAAAGUUGG